GUGGUGAUCAAUGGGCCUAGUCCAGAAGACUCUGUCUAUAUGUCCCAUAGGGAGGUCACAAAGAAGUCCUUAUUGGGGGCAGAUAUCUGGACUGACCACAUUCAGUAACUGGGAGGGAGCUGAGAACUGGAAAUUUGAGAUGGAGUUUUCCCAUGUUGCCCAUGCUGGUCUGGAACUCCUGAGCACAGGUGAUCCACCCGCUUCUGCCUCCCAAAGUGCUGGAAUUACAGGCAUGAGCCACUGUGCCUGACCCAUUUCCUUGUUUCUCUUUUCUUUGUUUAUCCCACCUCCCAUAGAAACAACUGAAGAGUAGCAGA
RNAcentral lists this long non-coding RNA (317 nucleotides) under Pongo abelii (Sumatran orangutan). Its description in RNAcentral is "lincRNA". Lineage: Eukaryota; Metazoa; Chordata; Mammalia; Primates; Hominidae. The record is from RNAcentral.